UACGGAGGGUGCGAGCGUUAAUCGGAAUUACUGGGCGUAAAGCGCACGCAGGCGGUUUGUUAAGCUAGAUGUGAAAGCCCCGGGCUCAACCUGGGAUGGUCAUUUAGAACUGGCAAACUAGAGUCUUGGAGAGGGGAGUGGAAUUCCAGGUGUAGCGGUGAAAUGCGUAGAUAUCUGGAGGAACAUCAGUGGCGAAGGCGACUCCCUGGCCAAAGACUGACGCUCAUGUG
Molecule: ribosomal RNA, 230 nt
Filed under: uncultured microorganism
Description: partial 16S ribosomal RNA
Rfam family: Bacterial small subunit ribosomal RNA
Source: RNAcentral